CAGACAAGACUUUGCUUAACUGACUAUCAUAACUUUGCUACUUGAUUUCUUUGCACAGUAAACAUAAAUUGUGCAAUCAGUCAGAUCUUUCUGGACAGUGAAAGUCCUUAUUAGGAAAAAAGUGUUACAUUCACAUACUUUUUAAAAAAGCCAAUUUGUUCAAAUUAUCAUUUUCAGUGCAUAUUUUUAUAUGCCAAAAAAUCUUCAAUAAGAUCUUGUUGUUUAAGAUACACCCCUUAUGAAAUGAGGAGAUAUAGUAGCAAAAGUGAUCUCACCUGCAUUCUUCCAGAAGGUGGAGCUCUAAGAACCAAUUGUAGUUCAGUCUCAGUUCAGAUUAAAAACAGAGCAGACAGACUUAUAUUGAGUCACUUAUACUCUAGGAGGAAACUGUAAGUCUUGGAUCUCAAAGUCAUUGUCUCUUAUAGUGCAGAUGUUGCUCCUGGUAUUCAUUAUAUUUUCUCUUCUAAAAGAUAAUGCUGCUGCAGACGUGAUAACACCAUUCUUCACAGAUAUGCAGGUUUUGGAAGGAAAAGAUGUUACACUGAUCUGCAAAUACACUGAAAGUGUUCGAAAUUUGCAGUGGUACCGUCAGUAUCCCGGAUCCAAACCUGACAACCUCAUUUUGUUCAUUGAGACCAGCCCUAAAUCAGAGCCCUCUCUCCGUCUGAGCGCUGUAGCUGAUAAAGCCCUCAAACAUAUGAAUCUGACAAUCUCUUCUACAGAAGUCAAAGACUCUGCCAUGUACUAUUGUGCCCUGCAGCCCACAGUGACAGGAAACACAACUGCACCCUACAAAAACUCAAUGAGAAAUGAGAAAAUCAUAAUGCUAAAUUUAACUUAA
Molecule: non-coding RNA, 841 nt
Organism: Rhinichthys klamathensis goyatoka
Lineage: Eukaryota; Metazoa; Chordata; Actinopteri; Cypriniformes; Leuciscidae
Source: the annotation of a RefSeq genome assembly